Molecule: ribosomal RNA, 489 nt
Filed under: uncultured bacterium
Lineage: Bacteria
Description: bacterial SSU rRNA
Rfam family: Bacterial small subunit ribosomal RNA
Source: RNAcentral
GACGAACGCUGGCGGCGCGCCUAACACAUGCAAGUCGAACGGGAUCUAUUAGGAGCUUGCUCUUGGCAGAUCUAGUGGCGGACGGGUGAGUAACACGUGAGCAACCUACCGGGGAGUGGGGGAUAACGUCUGGAAACGGACGCUAAUACCGCGUGACAUUGGGGGAAGGCAUCUUCUCCCAAUCAAAGGAGCAAUUCGCUCCCUGAUGGGCUCGCGUCCGAUUAGAUAGUUGGCGGGGUAACGGCCCACCAAGUCUGCGAUCGGUAGCCGGACUGAGAGGUUGAUCGGCCACAUUGGGACUGAGACACGGCCCAGACUCCUACGGGAGGCAGCAGUGGGGAAUAUUGCACAAUGGGGGAAACCCUGAUGCAGCGACGCCGCGUGAGUGAAGACGGUCUUCGGAUUGUAAAGCUCUGUUGCAGAGGACGAUAAUGACGGUACUCUGUGAGGAAGCCACGGCUAACUACGUGCCAGCAGCCGCAGUAAAAC